UAUAUACUGUCUCAUAUAUAUAUUUAUGAAUUUAAAAUUUUAAUAAAAAUGUUAAAAUUUAUUUAUGGGACGAUAAGACCCUAUAGAAUUUUAUAUUAAUUUAAUUAUUUAAUUAAUAAAUAAUUUAAAUUAAUAUUUAAUUGGGAGGAUUAUUAAAUUUAAAAAACUUUAAUUUAUAAAAACUUUAAUUAAAGAAAAUUUUAUGAUCUUGAAUUUUAAAUUAUUAGAAUAAAUUACCUUAGGGAUAACAGCGUAAUAUUUUUUUAUAGAUCUUAUAGAAAAAAAUGAUUGCGACCUCGAUGUUGAAUUAAGA
This 313-nucleotide ribosomal RNA is filed under the name Austroplebeia sp. striped_F53. RNAcentral's name for it is "partial 16S ribosomal RNA". RNAcentral also lists the same sequence under 1 other name. Lineage: Eukaryota; Metazoa; Arthropoda; Insecta; Hymenoptera; Apidae. The record is from RNAcentral.